This is a non-coding RNA of Peromyscus maniculatus bairdii (prairie deer mouse), 2765 nucleotides long. NCBI's taxonomy places the organism in Eukaryota, Metazoa, Chordata, Mammalia, Rodentia, Cricetidae. The record is from RefSeq and is a predicted model, not a curated record.
UCCUCGGGAGGGCGGGGCGGGGUCGGGCCACGCCCACGCAGGGCUGGAGAGGUGGCUCAGCAGGUAAGAGCACAGGCUGCUCUUGCGGAGGAUCCGGGCUCGAUUUCCAGCAGCCACAUGACAGCUCAAAGCCAUCUAUCUGUACCUCCCGUCCCAGGUGAUCCAGCACCCUCUUCCAGACACAGCAUGCACGUGACGCACAGACAUGCAGGCCAAGACUGCAUCGCAGCAUGACGUAGGUGCACAAGAAAUAUUUGCAGGGUGACUGGUUGACUGAAUCGGGUUAGAACUGUCAAGAAAAGUCCCUGCAGUGCGCGAGGAUGCCGCAAGAGGGUGCUGCAGGUCCACGGAGCAGCCCGCGGCGCGAGCAUCCUCGGGAGCCCAGGCCGGGGUGUCCUUCCCCAAGAAGUCCUCUGUGAGACACACACACACACACACACACACCCGCUCCCGGGGCUCGCAGCCUCGUGGGUCCCAGAGUCUUCACCCCUGCACACUCCGGGUCGUUAGGCAUCUGCCACAUGGAAACUGUAAAUACCCAGCGCAGGGCAACCUCCUUGGAGCCUGAGUGUGGAUUGAAGCCUGGACAUAAAUUCAAACUCACGUUGUAACCUUUCUGGUUAUUUCUAGGGCCCAGGACUGAAGAGGGCUCCACCCCAUCGUUCGUUUUGGUCUUUGGUCUUCGACACUAACAAUGGAUCUGCCACCAGCUCAUCCUGAAGCAGAUGCAGAUCCCAGCUGUGUCAUUUGCUGGCUCUCUCUCAAUCUCUCUCUCUCUCUCUCUCUCUCUCUCUCUCUCUCUCUCUCUCUCUCUCUCUCACACACACACACACACACACACAAUCUCUGGCCUCCGGUACCUGGUCUACAGAACCAGAUCCAGAGAGGGAACCUACUUUCUGGAACCUGUUGUAAGCAGUUCCUCCAGAGGUCUUUGGGUGGGGUGGGUGAGAAGCCUCAGUGGCUGAAGGAGCUUGCUGCCAAGCCUGACAGCCUGAGUUUGAUCCCUGGAACUCAUCUGGUAGAAGGAGAGACCUGAUUCCGUGAGUUGGGAUGGGUAGCUCUGUGUCCACAUCCUAAUCUCCUCACGUGACCGGUUUCCUUAUCUGCACACGCGCAGCCUCCGAGGAUUACAGGAGAUAAAGAUUAGGAGCAAACCACCAGGGAGGCACCGUGGUUAGGCUGGCCUCGGUCCCAGCAGGCUGCACACCCCAAGCGGGGCCUUUACCAAAUCCUCCGUGCAAAUUACUGCCGUCCACUCUCCACUGUGAGAGGAUGACGAGGCACAGAGAGGUCCAGUGCCUUCUCAAGAUCACACAGCCAAGGCCUCAAGACAUCCUUAAGCCACUCAGCUAUCCAUACCCCGAGGUAGGCUCCCCGGCCAGGCCCACGUGAAGAUGAAGAAACUGAGGCCCUGAGAGGCAGAAAUGUUUGCAGAGACCUCAAUUGAGAAGGCCGUUCAUGCCUCUAAUCCCAGCAACUGGGAUACCGAGAUAGGACAAGUGUCUAGGAGUUCCAAGCUAGCCUGGGCUACAUGGUUGUAAGACCUCAAAACUGCUAACGAACAAAAUACAGCCUGGUGGCUUCUGCCUGUGGUGGUAUCACUCUGGAAACCGAGGCAGGAAGGUCUCUGUGGGGUCCAGGACAGCCUGGGCCCCAACCUUCUCAAGACUUGGGGCUCCUGACCGAUCUCAGUUCCACCCACUAACUCUCACACCCUAGCAAGGGGGCAGCAGCGUGACACAGGCAGGGGGCAGACAUGACCAGUCCUGAAGGACUAGGGCUGAGGACACAGCCUGAUGACGCCGAGAGGCCAGGACGUCAUUUUCACUAAAACUCGACACCCUCUUGGCCGCCCUGUGCCCCUCUGAUCAGCAGCUCUACCCCUUCCUAGCUGUUUGCCCUUGGGCUGGUUGCUUGACCUCUCUGAGCCUCACCGGUGAGAGACUGAGUUACUGUGUAAGUACUCAGAGCAGUACUUAGCAUCAGCACCCACACUAGCCUUCCCCCCCCCCCCCACAGUUGACCUUCUUGCAGGAAGAGUUUAGCUUUGGCUCAUCCCAGGUCACAUGAUUAGCCCGUGACUGCAAGUCAUUCUGGGAGACUGAGUCCCCCAUAUCCUAGGCAUGCAUCUCAAAAGACAAGUGACACAGAACCACAGGACCCCCCCACCCCCACCCAAGGCGUAGAAAAUCUACAUGUAGCCGAAAAAGAACGCCAAGGGGCUGGCAAGGUGGCUCGGCGGUAAAGGCGCUUGCUUGCAGCCAAGCCUGACAGCCUGAGUUCAAUUCCUGGAAUCCACAGAACAGAAGGAAGGAGCGGACUCCCAGGAAUUGUCCUCCGACUUCCACGGGGUCUCUCCCCCUCACCCAUGAGGGGUCUCAGGGGCCUGGAGUGCAUGACGUGGCUGCAGCCCGCCUCUCCCUGCCUAUAACCUUCAGUGGCUCCCAUCAGAUGCGAAUAGAUACAGCAGAAACUAUCCCCAGGGGUCCCUUUCCCAGCGGUGUCUGUUCCCGUCUACCCUCAAGGCUCCUGCCUCAGGACCUUGGCACCUGCUCUUCCCUCAGCUCCCUCCCUGCACCGCUGGCUCUCUCCACAUCAGAUGUCACAUCCCCUCCUCAGAGGCCUGCCUUGAUUUACCCUGUCUGAAAUAGUGCUGUGAUCUGCCACCCUUCAAAGGCCUAUGACCUGUCUGUACCGGCCAGGAGGGGUCAGGGAACACCCUUUGUUUUCCCAGCAAGUAUUCAAUAAACUUACGUUUUUGU